This 348-nucleotide long non-coding RNA is filed under the name Mytilus galloprovincialis (Mediterranean mussel). The record is from RNAcentral. Lineage: Eukaryota; Metazoa; Mollusca; Bivalvia; Mytilida; Mytilidae.
GCUGGUUGUAUUUAUUGUGUUCUGUUUGGGUUUCAAAGGAGUAGGUCCAGUAAGACCCCUUUUUGGCCCCAAAAUAUAGCAGUUUUUCAAAAUUGUUAAAAUGUAAACUUUUAGUUAUUUAUUGGACAGAAGAAUGCUUCUGCUACAAAAUGUACAUAAAUAUGGGCUGUUGUUGACAUUACAAUGCACAUAUAUCGGGUAGUAGCACCAUUAAGAAUAAGUCAUGCUAAAUAACUAAAAUCUCCACAAUUCUAGCAUUUAGUUAAAUUUUAGACGGUUUCCAUGUAAAAUGAAAGUGGCCGCAUUCGUGUUCAUCCUUGAUAUUGAAAUGUAAAAGAGGGACGAAAG